Molecule: ribosomal RNA, 254 nt
Filed under: uncultured bacterium
Lineage: Bacteria
Description: partial 16S ribosomal RNA
Rfam family: Bacterial small subunit ribosomal RNA
Source: RNAcentral
UACGUAGGACCCAAGCGUUAUCCGGAUUGACUGGGCGUAAAGAGUUGCGUAGGUGGUAAUUUAAGCGAAUAGUGAAAUCUUGUGGCUCAACCAUAAGGCUAUUAUUCGAACUGGGUUACUCGAGAGUGGAAGAGGUAUCUGGAAUUUCUAAUGUAGGGGUAAUAUCCGUAGAUAUUAGAAGGAACACCAAUGGCGUAGGCAGGAUACUGGUCCAUUUCUGACACUAAUGCACGAAAGCGUGGGGAGCGAACAGG